RNAcentral lists this unclassified non-coding RNA (243 nucleotides) under Hevea brasiliensis (rubber tree). Lineage: Eukaryota; Viridiplantae; Streptophyta; Magnoliopsida; Malpighiales; Euphorbiaceae. The record is from RNAcentral.
AAUGGCCGGUGCACCAUGAAUUUCCCAUAGAUACGGUGCAGAACUGUUUUCAAAUACUCCCUCUCUCUAGGGUCCUCUGAAUCAAAAAGAUCUAACAACCUGAGAACAAAAGAGUGAUCAAUGUACCUCUUAGCCAAUUUUGCAUCUGUCUCAGGUGAUGCUAUAAACCUCAGAAGAAAUUCAUACACAACUUGCAAAUGAGGCCAUGCAGGGUCCAUUGAGGGCUCAUCCUCUUCCAAAUCA